This 835-nucleotide ribosomal RNA is filed under the name uncultured archaeon. RNAcentral's name for it is "bacterial SSU rRNA". It matches the Rfam family "Archaeal small subunit ribosomal RNA", at positions 21 to 859 of the family's 1478-position model. The record is from RNAcentral.
GGUUACUGCUAUCGGUGUUCGCCUAAGCCAUGCGAGUCAUAUGUAGCAAUACAUGGCGUACUGCUCAGUAACAAGUGGAUAACCUGCCCUUGGGUCCGGCAUAACCCCGGGAAACUGGGGAUAAUUCCGGAUAACGCAUAUAUGCUGGAAUGCUUUCUGCGUAAAAUGGAUUCGUCUGCCCAAGGAUGGGUCUGCGGCCUAUCAGGUAGUAGUGGGUGUAAUGUACCUACUAGCCUACGACGGGUACGGGUUGUGAGAGCAAGAGCCCGGAGAUGGAUUCUGAGACAUGAAUCCAGGCCCUACGGGGCGCAGCAGGCGCGAAAACUUUACAACGCGGGAAACCGUGAUAAGGGGACACCGAGUGCCAGCAUUAUAUGUUGGCUGUCCGGGUGUGUAAAAUACACCUGUUAGCAAGGGCCGGGCAAGACCGGUGCCAGCCGCCGCGGUAACACCGGCGGCCCGAGUGGUGAUCGUGUUUAUUGGGUCUAAAGGGUCCGUAGCCGGUUUGGUCAGUCCUCCGGGAAAUCUGACGGCUUAACCGUUAGGCUUUCGGGGGAUACUGCCAGACUUGGAACCGGGAGAGGUAAGAGGUACUACAGGGGUAGGAGUGAAAUCUUGUAAUCCCUGUGGGACCACCUGUGGCGAAGGCGUCUUACCAGAACGGGUUCGACGGUGAGGGACGAAAGCUGGGGGCACGAACCGGAUUAGAUACCCGGGUAGUCCCAGCCGUAAACGAUGCUCGCUAGGUGUCAGGCAUGGCGCGACCGUGUCUGGUGCCGCAGGGAAGCCGUGAAGCGAGCCACCUGGGAAGUACGGCCGCAAGGCUGAAACUUAA